RNAcentral lists this transfer RNA (85 nucleotides) under compost metagenome. RNAcentral's name for it is "tRNA-Leu". It matches the Rfam family "tRNA". Rfam says of the family: Transfer RNA (tRNA) molecules are approximately 80 nucleotides in length. The record is from RNAcentral.
GCGAACAUGGCGAAAUUGGUAGACGCGCAACGUUGAGGUCGUUGUAGGGAAACCUGUGGGGGUUCGAGUCCCCCUGUUCGCACCA